AUCGCUUUUCGCCCUUUUGGCUAAGAUCAAGUGUAGUAUCUGUUCCGAUUAGGGUUGCCACCUCAUCCCUUUAAAACCGAACACAUAUUAAUUACACAGGUUCUGUGGCUAAUUAAGGUGGUAAUUAGACUCAUUUGGUGCCUUACCUGCAUUAAAUUAGCCUCAGAACCUGUGUAAUUCAU
This is a small nuclear RNA of Rana temporaria (common frog), 182 nucleotides long. RefSeq annotates it as U2 spliceosomal RNA. Lineage: Eukaryota; Metazoa; Chordata; Amphibia; Anura; Ranidae. The record is from RefSeq and is a predicted model, not a curated record. The transcript has a single exon.